This 131-nucleotide small nucleolar RNA is filed under the name Echinops telfairi (small Madagascar hedgehog). RNAcentral describes it as "Small nucleolar RNA SNORA61 (ENSETEG00000025546.1)". The record is from RNAcentral. Lineage: Eukaryota; Metazoa; Chordata; Mammalia; Afrosoricida; Tenrecidae.
UCUCUCCAGAUUCCUUAUCCCUCAAACCUAAAUAGUGGUCUGAGGGGUGGGUUGGGGAAAAAAAACGAGGAAAAGUAAAAUGGAAAUGGACUCAGAGUCUUUAGUGACAAACAAGUUCAUUUCAAGCAAAC